This 255-nucleotide ribosomal RNA is filed under the name uncultured bacterium. RNAcentral describes it as "partial 16S ribosomal RNA". It matches the Rfam family "Bacterial small subunit ribosomal RNA", at positions 524 to 776 of the family's 1533-position model. The record is from RNAcentral.
UACGUAGGUGGCAAGCGUUUGUCCGGAAUUACGUGGCGUAAAGAGCUCGUAGGUGGUUUGUCGCGUUGUUCGUGAAAACUCACAGCUUAACUGUGGGCGUGCGGGCGAUACGGGCAGACUGGAGUACUGCAGGGGAGACUGGAAUUCCUGGUGUAGCGGUGGAAUGCGCAGAUAUCAGGAGGAACACCGGUGGCGAAGGCGGGUCUCUGGGCAGUAACUGACGCUGGAGGAGCGAAAGCGUGGGGAGCGAACAGG